RNAcentral lists this ribosomal RNA (1463 nucleotides) under uncultured Klebsiella sp. RNAcentral's name for it is "bacterial SSU rRNA". It matches the Rfam family "Bacterial small subunit ribosomal RNA". The record is from RNAcentral. Lineage: Bacteria; Pseudomonadati; Pseudomonadota; Gammaproteobacteria; Enterobacterales; Enterobacteriaceae.
AUUGAACGCUGGCGGCAGGCCUAACACAUGCAAGUCGAGCGGUAGCACAGAGAGCUUGCUCUCGGGUGACGAGCGGCGGACGGGCGAGUAAUGUCUGGGAAACUGCCUGAUGGAGGGGGAUAACUACUGGAAACGGUAGCUAAUACCGCAUAAUGUCGCAAGACCAAAGUGGGGGACCUUCGGGCCUCAUGCCAUCAGAUGUGCCCAGAUGGGAUUAGCUAGUAGGUGGGGUAACGGCUCACCUAGGCGACGAUCCCUAGCUGGUCUGAGAGGAUGACCAGCCACACUGGAACUGAGACACGGUCCAGACUCCUACGGGAGGCAGCAGUGGGGAAUAUUGCACAAUGGGCGCAAGCCUGAUGCAGCCAUGCCGCGUGUGUGAAGAAGGCCUUCGGGUUGUAAAGCACUUUCAGCGGGGAGGAAGGCGGUGAGGUUAAUAACCUCAUCGAUUGACGUUACCCGCAGAAGAAGCACCGGCUAACUCCGUGCCAGCAGCCGCGGUAAUACGGAGGGUGCAAGCGUUAAUCGGAAUUACUGGGCGUAAAGCGCACGCAGGCGGUCUGUCAAGUCGGAUGUGAAAUCCCCGGGCUCAACCUGGGAACUGCAUUCGAAACUGGCAGGCUAGAGUCUUGUAGAGGGGGGUAGAAUUCCAGGUGUAGCGGUGAAAUGCGUAGAGAUCUGGAGGAAUACCGGUGGCGAAGGCGGCCCCCUGGACAAAGACUGACGCUCAGGUGCGAAAGCGUGGGGAGCAAACAGGAUUAGAUACCCUGGUAGUCCACGCCGUAAACGAUGUCGAUUUGGAGGUUGUGCCCUUGAGGCGUGGCUUCCGGAGCUAACGCGUUAAAUCGACCGCCUGGGGAGUACGGCCGCAAGGUUAAAACUCAAAUGAAUUGACGGGGGCCCGCACAAGCGGUGGAGCAUGUGGUUUAAUUCGAUGCAACGCGAAGAACCUUACCUGGUCUUGACAUCCACAGAACUUAGCAGAGAUGCUUUGGUGCCUUCGGGAACUGUGAGACAGGUGCUGCAUGGCUGUCGUCAGCUCGUGUUGUGAAAUGUUGGGUUAAGUCCCGCAACGAGCGCAACCCUUAUCCUUUGUUGCCAGCGGUCCGGCCGGGAACUCAAAGGAGACUGCCAGUGAUAAACUGGAGGAAGGUGGGGAUGACGUCAAGUCAUCAUGGCCCUUACGACCAGGGCUACACACGUGCUACAAUGGCAUAUACAAAGAGAAGCGACCUCGCGAGAGCAAGCGGACCUCAUAAAGUAUGUCGUAGUCCGGAUUGGAGUCUGCAACUCGACUCCAUGAAGUCGGAAUCGCUAGUAAUCGUAGAUCAGAAUGCUACGGUGAAUACGUUCCCGGGCCUUGUACACACCGCCCGUCACACCAUGGGAGUGGGUUGCAAAAGAAGUAGGUAGCUUAACCUUCGGGAGGGCGCUUACCACUUUGUGAUUCAUGACUGGGGUGA